UGAACAUUUAUCCCUCCCUGUAUUUUUCUGCUUUAAGAGAACAUACAGGUCUCCUAGAUGAAGAGGAGGGUGCUGAGACACAGAAUCACAGAAUCAUCUAGGUUGGAAGAGACCUCCAAGAUCACCGAGUCCAACCUCUGACCUAACACUAGCAAGACCUCCACUAAACCAUAUCACUAAGCUCUACAUCUAAACGUCUUUUAAAGACCUCCACAGGGAUGGUGACUCAACCACUUCCCUGGGCAGCCCAUUCCAAUGCCUAACAACCCUUUCAGUAAAAAAGUUCUUCCUAAUAUCUAACCUAAACCUCCCCUGGCACAGCUUUAGCCCAUUCCCCCUCGUCCUGUCACCAGGCACGUGGGAGAAUAGACCAACCCCCACUUCGCUACAGCCUCCUUUAAGGUAGCUGUAGAGUGUGAUAAGGUCACCCCUGAGCCUCCUCCAGGCUGAACAAUCCCAGCUCCCUCAGCCGCUCCUCGUAAUACUUGUUCUCCAGACCCCUCACCAGCUUCAUUGCCCUUCUGGACACAAUGAAAGACAGUUACUUUCUAAAGCAAGUUCUGGUGCAUAAUGGACUACCAUUGGAUGUCAGCUUGAGAAACACUGCUGUGACUUUACAUUGAAGAAGGCAUCGAAGGUGGCUGGUUUGUGAAUGGCACAGUACCAUCAUUGCGUAUUAGGCUCGCAGUGAUGAAAACAAUUAUCCUGUUUGGCUUCUGGAAAUACCCUGCCUUUAGCCUUAUUAUGCACCUGAGAUGGGUGAAACUGUCUCAACUAUAAUUAUAUUACAGAAGACCUAGGGCCUGAUCCUGCAAGUGUUAAGCAUCCUGCAACAGCUAUUUGUCAGUGAUAAAGAAGAACAAAUAACACCAGAGGUACAAGGUUUUGCUGGAUCAGGCCAUAAAUGUAUAGGACCAGAUCUGGAACAGUACUAGUUGAGAAGCCUUCUUUAACAUAUGCUGGAAGUAGCAAAGAAAACCUGCCUGCACAGAACUGACUGAGUAUGGACAAAAAAGUUCAGGCUGCUGAACAGGAGCCUACUCACGACAAAAAAAACUCUGGAAAGCAGCCUUCACUGCAAGUCCGAUGCUUCUG
This is a long non-coding RNA of Cygnus atratus (black swan), 1095 nucleotides long. RefSeq lists it as uncharacterized. The record is from RefSeq and is a predicted model, not a curated record. Lineage: Eukaryota; Metazoa; Chordata; Aves; Anseriformes; Anatidae. The transcript has 5 exons.